GCUCCCUUCAGCGCAACAGAGAGUAAACCUGGAAUGAUACUGACAAGAUUAGCAUGGCCUCUGUGCCAGGAUUAUAGCGAAUUUUUGAAGCAUUCCAUAUUUCU
This is a small nuclear RNA of Perognathus longimembris pacificus (Pacific pocket mouse), 104 nucleotides long. Lineage: Eukaryota; Metazoa; Chordata; Mammalia; Rodentia; Heteromyidae. The record is from RefSeq and is a predicted model, not a curated record.